UAGAGAUCUCACCUUUUAAAAAGCAUUUUAGUUUUCAGAAGUGGAUUAAUCCACGUCGAGACUGUCACCCUAAAUGUGAACCAGAGGAAGAGCCAUCACAAGGAAAUCUUUGCCUCCCCUGCAUGCAGUUUGACAGUUUCUAUUAAUCAAGUGGCCAAAGCCAGACCACUGAGACUUUGUCUCCAGGCUAAACAGCUUGAAGAGGAAGCACCAGGAUUCAAAUUCAGGUCUUCCGGCUCCAAAGGACACACUCGUAAUUACUGCAUUGGACUCCCUUUCUACUAUCAGGAUUCUUUUCAUUGCAAAUGGUCGAAAUCUGGGUCUUAAGGUAAACAGAGAAUUUGUUGUCAUGUAACUUAAACGUCUAAGAGUAUCUGACUUCAGACACGGGUUGAUCCAGGUACUGGCAUGAUGUCAUAAGAAUAGAGUCCCUCCCUUCAUCUGAUGGUUCUACUUUCCUCUGUGUUGGCUUCUCCAUAAGAAGGCUCUUCCCUUUUGAAGCCCCAGCUGUGGCAGCUCCUACCUUCCAAAGAUGGCACAACAAUACCCUUAUCUCCACACUCCUCUGCGAUGUGACCUUGACAUUCUUUCCACUCAGUGACAGUUCUACGUCCUCUCUCCUUGAGUGUGGGCAGGCUUGUGACUGACUGGAAAUCAACAGACAGUGGGUGGGGAUGCUGCUGCACGACUUUUGUGACCAGGUCAGAAAAGGCAAUGCAGCUCUUGCUUCGUCCUCAGGGGACCGCCUUUGGAGCCCCAAACGGGUGAGAAGUCCUGCUGGCCUGUGACGGCCACACUGUGGGGAAGCCCAGCCACACGAGGAGGGCACAGGUGACAACAGUGACAGCCUCAGCCAAGGUCCCAGUCGACAGCCAGCAGCAAGCACCAGACUGAAUGGAGAUAAUUCCAGAUGAUUUCAGCCCCCAGCUCUCGAGACACUCCCAGCUGUCGAUCGUUUCUAGUUGAGGCAUCAGACAUGGGGGAGCAGAGACGAACUCUCCUGCUCUGAUCCGUCUGAAUUCCUGACCCACAAACCAGUGAAAUAAUAAAACAGUUAUUUUAAGCCCUCACAUCUUGGAAUAAUUUGUUAUGUGCAAUAGCAAGUGGACACCGGGCUUCUAUCAGCCACGCAGCCCUGCCUGAAAGAAGGCUGCUCUCCUUCCCAGUUGUUCUGGGGCAGGGCAGUCAUUGGACCAGGC
RNAcentral lists this long non-coding RNA (1199 nucleotides) under Equus caballus (horse). RNAcentral describes it as "lncRNA (ENSECAG00000055386.1)". Lineage: Eukaryota; Metazoa; Chordata; Mammalia; Perissodactyla; Equidae. The record is from RNAcentral.